AGUGCAUCGGAUCAGGAGCAAUCUUCUCAGUGUCUGGUUACAUGUCUUUAUUUCCCCCCUUCUAUUUAAUCCUCUCUAGUCCCUUAAUUAAUUUAAUUCCCCUUUUUUCCUGUUUGAUUUCUCACCCUACCCCUUUCCCUGCCCUGUGGGAAGAUUCUCCCUGUACCUGUGAGCGCUGCCUGUGCGUAAUCCUCCUGGGCUUGCCUUUCCCAAUAGGGAGAGAGCCCCCAUUAGGGGCUUUCUUUUGCAAAGAGGUUUUCCCCAUUUUUGCCUGUUUAAUUGUGGGGCUAGUCAGGGCUGUUCCCAGCUUAGCUGGAAUCACUUCGUUUAUAGUAUCCCCAAAGGUGGCUUUAUUUUGGGUGCAUGCAGUGCUGUUGGCUGAGUUUUAAUUUAGCCUUGGGCGGGAGCACUAUAUUGAGUUCCUUUAAUAUUGCAAUGAGACAAUAAAAGGCAGAGAGCAGAAGCAGGGAGGCCUUCACGGCCUGCUCGGCCUGCACAUACCAUUCAAGCCUAAGCCUGCUACAGUUAGCAGUACAGUAAUUGUUAAGUCUCUCUGACAUGUGACUCACUUUCUCUAUAAGAAUUUAUCUGUUUGUUUGCAGGCUCACUUGUUGCUAAUGUAUAUCUUAGGCAGACAGAGUGGAGCCAGAGGCUCUCUGUGCCUCCAGUGAGCACUCUGUGUAUGCUCUUUAACUAUGCUGUUUCAGAACAAGUUUAUUUUCUUCAAGUUUGUUUUGCCCUGAUAGUGGCAAUUGCCAUUUUAGAGACGAGCCAUUGUGGCUUAGUGGCUAGAGCGCAGUACUAGGACCUGGGAGACAGGGUUCAUAUCCCCCACUUAGCCAUUGUUAUCACAAAACAAAACAAGCUGCUCCUUUUGGACUAUUCUGUUGCUGGGUAGUUCGGCCCACUUGUGAUAUUGCUCCCAAAAAGAACUUUGGGUUUUCUUGAGGAGGUGCUUCCCUCUAAAGGGCAAACAGGGGUACCUGGACAGGCGGUGGGCUGCCUCGAAUUUGUUAUCUCAUUGGAAACAUUUAUGUCUGGCCUAGCAGGUGAUCUUAGGGCUUGGCCCUAGAAUUUGAUGGCCUCUGGCAGCGUUUCUGGCCUGAAUAGCUUCCCCAUGUGGUGCACAAAGCAUUGGUUUCACCAGUUCCUCACAUUUAGUUUUGCAGACUAUGACAGAGCCUUUGCAGAUGCCUCCAGAGCUUGCCUCUCCUGCAGAGGUUGACUUGCUGAUGCCCUAGGUGCCUUCUUCCAGAAGGAAGCGUCUUCGGAGGCGGCGAUCCAGGAGCAGGGAAAAGGGGAGCAGGGAUGAUGCUUACACCUCCUUGCAGGUACGUCAAACCUGGGUCUUUAGGGAUCAUCCUGGAUAGCUCAGCUGGUCAGCGUAUGGUGCCGGUAAUACCUAGGUUGCAGUCUUGGUCCCUGUAUGGAACAGCUGCAUGUUCCCCCAUCACUCUACCCGGUCACUGAGGUCCAGCGCCGAGGGCCUUCUGGUGGUUCCCUCACUGAGAGGCCAAGUUACAGGGCACCAUGUGGAGGACCUUCUCGGUAGUGGCACCCGCCAUGUGGUACGCCCUCCCAUCAGAUGUCUACUACCAGACUUUUAGAAGACAUCUAAGGCAGCCCUGUUUAGGGAAGCCUUUAAUGUUUGCUGCAUUACUGUAUUUCAAUCUUUUGUUGGAAGCUGCCCAGAGUGGCUGGGGAACAAAUAGAUGAUGAUGAUGAUGAUGAUUAUAUUGUGGGAGAGUGGACCAGAUGAUCCUCAGGGUCCCUUCCACCCCACUAUUCUUUACGUUGCAAUUCAAUAUGGGAAUGCAGGGCUGCCAUCAUCCCCUCAGCUUGCUAGGAUCGCAGGGACGGGGACAUGUGGACCACUUGUGCAGCUCCACAUUUCAAAUGGAAAUUCCCUGAGCUAUAGAACCUUAAGCUGGUAUGCAGGAAGCUGGCCCGGCAGCAGCUUUGUUGGGACUUUUUAGGGUUUCUGGCCGGCGUUGGCCCUGCAAAUUUACACAUCAUGGUGGCAACACAAGGCAGGGCAUUUUGCCCAAUGUGGGGGCUGGGGGCUAGCAAGCAAUAACUCAAUACCUCUCGCCCAUAUUUCCAUAAAAAUACCUUCCUUGAAAGCCUGGCCAAAUGGUUAUCUAGAUAGGUCAGUGGUUUUGUGCUUGUGGGAAGGGUUUUCCCAAGGUUUGGGAUUCCUCUGGCUCUUCAGCCAGUGGCUCAGAAUACAGCAACUCAAAGCCAGUCAGAGAGCUACCUGUGGUAGCAAGUAAGAAAGUUAGGAAGCAGCUUUCAUUGGGACGUAUGGUGGUAUCCCCUUGAUUCUCCUGCUAUUCCUAUUUUCAUUUAUCCCCUUUGAGGAUCGUCCCUAAGAAAGCCCCAUAUAAUCCCCCAUAUAAUUUAUCGCAUCCCAAAGGCACCUCAGUGAAUGACUCUCUGGAAUUGUUCCACAAAAUAUGCAUCUUUGGAUCAGGCAGUUGAGCUUACCAACAUAUUGGAAGAGGGCCUUGUUGGCAUUAUGCGAUAUUGAAUUGGCUGUUCGGCUGUUCGGCUGCUGCCAAGAUUAUAAGUAGUUGGGCUUAAUUGGAUGGUCCUUACACUUAUAAGGCGAUGCCAAUGGGUUGCGCUAUAGGCUGUGCAGCACUCGAGUCCUUUAGCAUCUUUCUGGAUUGAACAUUGCGAAUCAAGACUCGUUUAACUGGGGGUACCAUUAUUUGGAUUAUCUUACUAGCUGGUUCAUGUGACACCAGCCUCUGCUAAGGCUUACUGUACGCCCCUUUUAUUCCCUGAGGAGCUGGGUGUUCCCAGUGGAUAGGACAGUGGCUCCUACUGCCCCUUUUAACGUAUUUGGGGGCUAGCUGGAUACCGUUGCUCAUACCUCUGCUUGCCUGUGGAAAAGCUGUUUGCCGUGAAGGACGUUAUUCUUGUAAUACUUCCUCUGAUAGCAAAUGUUGCUUUGUCAGAUUCUAUCAUUGCUAGGUCAGUUUAAAAAAAAAAAAUGGCAUGCAGGGUGGUUGUUCCAGGCUGCCCCUUCUAUUCCUGCUUGGCCAGGUGGGGUCUCAUGGCCCAGGGUCCCUUCAUCAUCCUGUACAGUGGCCUUGAGCCUGGCAGGGCAAGGCAAUCACAUGUGACCUAACUUUUCUUGAGUUUUCCCCAUUGUAGUCUCAGCGCACAUCUGGACUGAGGAGUACAGGGACCAUCGGGUCUGUCUUGGUUUGAUAACCAGGCAGUGUGAGGGUCCUGGCAAAAUGGUCCUCAUUCUUCAGCAGAGUCUCCGCCCCCCUUUUAUGUGCUUUCCAGCUGCACUGCUUAAGGUUUAAUAUUGCGUUUCUGCUCGCUUUAUUACGGGAUCAUCUAAUGUUUUCGCUGUCACUCUAUCCCGUUUUCAGUUGGAGAGCUUCAGAUCCUGGCCUCUGGAUGCCCAGCUAUAGCUGGAUUUUCUGGAGCUCCUGUGGCGCUUUGGCAACAAUUGAUAAUUAAGAGGAGUAGUAGCUUACAUUUCCCCUUCUGCUUUCAGGCCUGGACUGAUUUCUUAGCAUUUAGCUGGCAGUCCUCGGCCAUUCAGAGGAACUUGCCUCCAUCCUCUGAGCAGGACCUGCAGUAAUUGGACUACCUGCUGCAGAUCGGAUGCACUGUUAAAACUAUCAUAAUUCAGUCCGCUGCAAUGUCUGCUAGAGUAAAGCUUUAAUUUUUCAGAGACCCUUUUAAAAGUGUGUCAUGCGCAGGGUCUCGGAAGGUUGUAAAAGGCUCCAGCCUUCACAGGACUGCAGGCAGGAAGCCGGUCAAUCUUGACCUAUGCAGUAUCCGCAACAAGUUAAGACUUGUCUCCUGGUUCUAGAUCUAGACGAGACUUCUUUCAGUAUUCCAUUGUAAUUUUGGUGUACUGAGGGUUGGGGAAAUUGUGUUGCAGCCAGCACAGGGCUGAGAGUUUGGAGGCUUAUUGCCUCUGGAUUUUUCCUUAUCUGCUUUAGAGCUUGUCAUAAGUGUCUGGAGCUCUAAGUCAGACCUAGUGGGCUGGGUUGCCAUCAUCAGGCUUCCAGUCACAGGUAGGUGGGCCCUUGCCCUGUUAUUGGAUACCAGAAAUAUUUGGCCUUUCGUUCCCCUGGGGGCUGGCUCGAUCCUAGAAGUUGCUGGUUCUCGUGGGUUGCUCCUUCGGGAUAUAUGCGUUUCCCUUUUGGAGUUGAGACUUGUAGUGUGCAACUCCAAAACUGACCAGCUGGGUCGGGGGGAGGUUGUCCACCUCCCAGCGACUGGGGAGGUGGGCCUGUGCCCGGUCAAGGAUGUAAGGAAGUACUUGGCCUUGAGACCUCCUGGGGACAGCCCCCUACUCAUGCAUGAAAAUGGUCACCCUUUGGCGCGACACCAGUUCACAAAAGUCAUGCGUAAGGCCAUCUCUGCUUGUGGGAUCUCGGCCUCUGGUUUUGCCCCUCAUUCCUUUCGCAUAGGUGCAGCGACUAUGGCGGCCCAUUGGGGCUUCUCAGCCGCCAGGAUCAAGGAUUUGGGGAGAUGGAAAUCAUAUGCUUUCAAGGGUUAAGUGCGAAACAAAAUGCUGAGUUUGGUACUAAUGCUUGUUUGUUUCAACCCUUGCAGAUCCCACGCUGGUCCGCGUCUGGAUAGUGGGACACAGCAUCGUUCAUUGGGCUGGCAGCAGAGCGAGGCAGUCUGCAAGGGGAGCGUGUCUCGGCCUCCCACAGCACGUGCAAGUGUCAUGGUUUUCCAGACGUGGAAUUUCAUGGGGAGAGCUUAUGCCGCUGAUUGGUCGCCGGCUGCUCUCGGACCUGCCCACCCUAUGGCCAUAGUGGUGCAGCUGGGGAAAAAAUGAUGUGGCAACUAUUGAUUGCCUUGCUUUGCGCACCUCAGUCCAAAAGGGAUUUGGAGGCAUUGGCAGCCUUAUUACCUUCAGUGAGAAUAAUUUGGUCUCACCUGUUGCAGAGGCAAACCUGGCGCGGUGUUUCCCGCCUGGAGGCCGCUGAAAGGGCCAGGAAGCGCAUUAACUCUGCUGUUUGCGUGAAGGUAUUGGAGCUGGGUGGUUUGGUGAUUUCGCACCCAGACAUUAAUUUUAAGGCUGAGGCCCUUUACCGGGCAGAUGGAGUGCACCUCUCCGAUUUGGGGAAUGAUGUUUGGCUGGAUGCGGUGGCUACUAAAUUGGGUUCAUGGUUGGGUUUGUGAAUGGUUGGCGGCGAGCGUUAGAGCUCGUGUGGCGGUUAGGCAUUGGUUAUAAUAUGCUGGUGGUGGAGGGGUCAGGAUAGGCCGUGCCUGUCCCUCCCGUUGCGCUGAAGGGAAUUCCGUUAAAGGAAUCCUGGGGCUUGCCAUGAUUUCGUCCAAUCCCUGUCAUGGGACCAGGGCCGCCCAAUCCCUGUCAUGGGAAUCCUUGUCAUAGGAUCUGGGCCGGCAAGCUUCGGGAGCUGCUGGGGUGAGCGGCGUGGGUCCGACGCUUAGCUCAAAUGACCCCCAGUUUGACUUUCUCUUCUACUGGCUACCGAUCGGACCUCGGGAUGUCAGUUCUGUCCCAGGCGGGGGGACAGAUAGUCAUAACCAAUGUCUAAACAACCACUCACUGAUUUUGUAUUUUAAUAAAGUUGUGGCCAAAAUAGUGCCCAAAAACCAAAACUAAAUUACGUGUUAUGUGUGAAGUUAUUUGAGGGGUGGCCUGGGGACCUACACACGCAACGUGGUUUUCCAAAGAGAGGUCAUGCUGCCUCUCUUUGGAAAACCCCUUCAUGAUAGUACUGCCUCAUAUUGCAAAACCCUUAACUCAAAUUGUUCAGAGAAAAAUUGGGCAAUUGCUUGGAAGUGUUAAUAGUGGGAGUUUUAAUGAUUCAGAC
Molecule: non-coding RNA, 5825 nt
Organism: Podarcis lilfordi (Lilford's wall lizard)
Lineage: Eukaryota; Metazoa; Chordata; Lepidosauria; Squamata; Lacertidae
Source: the annotation of a GenBank genome assembly